GAACGCUGGCGGUAGGCUUAACACAUGCAAGUCGAGCGGUAACAGAGAUAGCUUGCUAUCUGCUGACGAGCGGCGGACGGGUGAGUAACGCGUAGGAAUCUACCGGAUAGUGGGGGACAACCAGUGGAAACGCUGGCUAAUACCGCAUACGCCCUACGGGGGAAAGCAGGGGAUCUUCGGACCUUGCGCUAUUCGAUGAGCCUGCGUGAGAUUAGCUUGUUGGUGAGGUAAAGGCUCACCAAGGCGACGAUCUCUAGCUGGUCUGAGAGGAUGAUCAGCCACACUGGGACUGAGACACGGCCCAGACUCCUACGGGAGGCAGCAGUGGGGAAUAUUGCACAAUGGGCGCAAGCCUGAUGCAGCCAUACCGCGUGUGUGAAGAAGGCCUUCGGGUUGUAAAGCACUUUCAGCAGUGAGGAAAGGUGUGUAGUUAAUACCUGCAUACUGUGACGUUAACUGCAGAAGAAGCACCGGCUAACUCCGUGCCAGCAGCCGCGGUAAU
This 502-nucleotide ribosomal RNA is filed under the name uncultured bacterium. RNAcentral's name for it is "bacterial SSU rRNA". It matches the Rfam family "Bacterial small subunit ribosomal RNA", at positions 31 to 524 of the family's 1533-position model. The record is from RNAcentral.